RNAcentral lists this unclassified non-coding RNA (333 nucleotides) under soil metagenome. RNAcentral's name for it is "partial contains 5.8S ribosomal RNA, internal transcribed spacer 2, and large subunit ribosomal RNA". The stretch from base 1 to 120 matches the Rfam family "5.8S ribosomal RNA", at positions 35 to 154 of the family's 154-position model. The record is from RNAcentral.
GAUGAAGAACGCAGCGAAAUGCGAUAAGUAAUGUGAAUUGCAGAAUUCAGUGAAUCAUCGAAUCUUUGAACGCACAUUGCGCCCGCCAGUAUUCUGGCGGGCAUGCCUGUUCGAGCGUCAUUUCAACCAUCAAGCCCUGCUUGCGUUGGGGUCCUGCGGCUGCCCGCAGGCCCUGAAAACCAGUGGCGGGCUCGCUAGUCACACCGAGCGCAGUAAUACAUCUCGCUUUGGGCGUGCGGCGGGUUCUUGCCGUUAAACACCCCCUUUUUACCAAGGUUGACCUCGGAUCAGGUAGGAAUACCCGCUGAACUUAAGCAUAUAAUAAGCGGAGGA